CCUACGGGGGGCAGCAGUGGGGAAUAUUGCACAAUGGGCGCAAGCCUGAUGCAGCCAUGCCGCGUGUGUGAAGAAGGCCUUCGGGUUGUAAAGCACUUUCAGCGGGGAGGAAGGCGGUGAGGUUAAUAACCUCAUCGAUUGACGUUACCCGCAGAAGAAGCACCGGCUAACUCCGUGCCAGCAGCCGCGGUAAUACGGAGGGUGCAAGCGUUAAUCGGAAUUACUGGGCGUAAAGCGCACGCAGGCGGUCUGUCAAGUCGGAUGUGAAAUCCCCGGGCUCAACCUGGGAACUGCAUUCGAAACUGGGAGGCUAGAGUCUUGUAGAGGGGGGUAGAAUUCCAGGUGUAGCGGUGAAAUGCGUAGAGAUCUGGAGGAAUACCGGUGGCGAAGGCGGCCCCCUGGACAAAGACUGACGCUCAGGUGCGAAAGCGUGGGGAGCAAACAGGAUUAGAUACCCUUGUAGUC
Molecule: ribosomal RNA, 465 nt
Filed under: uncultured Klebsiella sp.
Lineage: Bacteria; Pseudomonadati; Pseudomonadota; Gammaproteobacteria; Enterobacterales; Enterobacteriaceae
Description: bacterial SSU rRNA
Rfam family: Bacterial small subunit ribosomal RNA
Source: RNAcentral